GAUGACUAAUACCGGAUAACAACAGAUGAUGCCUAUCAACUGUUUAAAAGAUGGUUCUGCUAUCACUCUUGGAUGGACCUGCGGUGCAUUAGCUAGUUGGUAGGGUAACGGCCUACCAAGGCGAUGAUGCAUAGCCGAGUUGAGAGACUGAUCGGCCACAUUGGGACUGAGACACGGCCCAAACUCCUACGGGAGGCAGCAGUC
Molecule: ribosomal RNA, 204 nt
Filed under: uncultured Lactobacillus sp.
Lineage: Bacteria; Bacillati; Bacillota; Bacilli; Lactobacillales; Lactobacillaceae
Description: partial 16S ribosomal RNA
Rfam family: Bacterial small subunit ribosomal RNA
Source: RNAcentral